Long non-coding RNA from Carassius auratus (goldfish), 942 nucleotides. RefSeq lists it as uncharacterized. The record is from RefSeq and is a predicted model, not a curated record. NCBI's taxonomy places the organism in Eukaryota, Metazoa, Chordata, Actinopteri, Cypriniformes, Cyprinidae. The transcript has 7 exons.
GAAGUUUGAUGGCGUAAUCAUACUCAGGAGGGUCAUCAUUCAGCUCGGUUUCAAGACAGUCCCAGAAGGCCUUGUGCACCAUAUCUUUAACUCUCUUCUCCAGGCUUUAAGAAAAAAAAAGUUACCAAGCAACUGAACAUCAAGAGGGGCCCAGAUCUGGAGAUGGUAAAUGAUGGGAGAAAAAGGGAGUGAGGCAUAAAUGAUGAGGACAAGGUGAGGCAGAAUAAUGAGAUCAGGAAAUGAUGUGAAAUGACACAAAUUUGCUUCAUUGCAUUAGUGCCACAAUCGAUGUACAUGUACACUAACUACUAGAUUUAUUUCUAUUAAUUUUGUUAUGCCUUCCAACAGUUAACUGCAUUCAUUUCUUCAUUGUAAACACUGUUAAUAUGUUGAGUAGCUGCCCUAAACUGAUCUUCUUCGACAAGUGGUGUUCGAUACAGAUGCAUGGCUCAGAUUGAUGAGAAUGUGACAGAUCAUCACUGUGACCUCUAUAGGCUGCUCAACACUUCGGUCAGAGUUUGGCAGGAUGGAAAUCAGCUCCGAUCAUACCUCUCCAGAACAAGCUGUGAGGUUCUGUAGCGCUCCGAUGGAUGCCACCUUUGUGUGCUGGUUUGUGCUGACAGCAAUGAGAGAGAGAUACAUGCGGACGGUGAUGGCGCUCCAGAGCCACUCUACACCCUGAGGACUGCCGUUCUCCUCAAGUAACGGAUAGUCUUCAUCCGCUUCCUGAGCCUGAGGAACAUCAAGGUCUAAAGACGUACUGUUGCUGUUGAUAAAGAUGGGGAUUUAAUGGCCCAAAGUGUGCCAAGAAAAUAGCAGCAAAUAGCACCACCAGCAGCCUGAACCAAUGAGACGAGGCAGGAUGGACCCAUGCUUUCAUGUUCUUUAUGCCAACUUCUGACCCUACCAUCUGAAUGUUGCAGCAGAAAUCAAGACUCAUCA